RNAcentral lists this long non-coding RNA (1259 nucleotides) under Capra hircus (goat). Its description in RNAcentral is "lncRNA (ENSCHIG00010017533.1)". Lineage: Eukaryota; Metazoa; Chordata; Mammalia; Artiodactyla; Bovidae. The record is from RNAcentral.
CCACCAGGGAAGCCCAAGAAAAUCAGCAAGGAUAUUCAAUUGAACAACACCAUAUUUUGUCGCUAUCUAACUGACAAAAAUGUUGAAUAGAAUAUUCUUCCUAACAAUGUAAUAUACACUCUUUUCAAGAAUAUACAUUCAUGGAAUAUUCUCCAAGACAAACCACAUCCUAAGUCACAAAACAGGUCUUAAACAUGAGAGAAUUUAAAUCACAUGGCUAUUUUUUUGGCCAAAAAUAGAAUAAAACUGGAAAUCAAGAACAGAAAACCAAUAGGAAGAUCUUCAAACAUGUGAAAAUGAAAGAUCUUCUAAAUCCUCCCCUAAGACUCUUUGCUUACAUCACUUCAGUAAAUUGUUGAUAAUAAAAACUGUCCUGUCCAUCACUUACCCAUGUAUUUGUCUUUCAAGAUCUAAGGGAAAGAAGUAAAAUAAAUGAAAGCAUGGAAAAGUGAAAUUACAUCUCCAAUUUGAAAACCUUAUUCUGACCCUCUCAUUUUAUGGAAAUUGGAGGCUACUUAUGAACCCCCAGAGCUUUAGCCUAUGCCUGAGUUAUGCCUGCAAUUCAUAAGUAAUGUAGGAUCUUCAACUUAUUCAACUGAGACUUUAGGCAUCAAAGGUAAACCUGCCCUCUUCCUUGGCUAUCUACUACUUCUUGAUGACAUACAACUUCAAGGUGCAUAAGUAAGAGAGAAAUGGGUCCAAUGGGCAGCAGUGUGAUGAUCUGCAAGCAAGUGUAAUUUUAUCGGAAAAUGGCAUCUUGCCCUUUUUCAGAGUCAAGGAGUAAUGCAUGAAUCUAGCAGAAAUGAUUCACUCUUACCCCUUGAAGGACUGGGGCCUGGUUAGUCAAGACUUCAGUCUGUUUCAUUCAAAGCUAAGGACCUCUAAGUGACUUUAAUCAAAACGCUGAUGGCCAGAAAAAGUGCAGACAACAAUGCCCUUUUCACUCAGGUCUCAGAACUCAAGGAGAGGAGCCUCAGAAAACAAGACUGCGGUGGUUACAGGGGCAGGACUUGAAUUGUUUUGACAACUGCAGGGCAGGUAGGACUUGAAUUGCUCAUUCCUGCCUAGACUGAGAGGGUCUAAGCCUCUAACUUUGGCUUCUCUAAUCAGGCUUCAUGUACCAUUGGCUCCUGUGUGGAAGACAGCUACCUGGUUGUCGCUAAUGGUUAUGUUUUGAUAGAAAACUUAGUUCCCUUCUGUUGUUUAAUCACCUUCAAUGACUCCUGAUACCCUUGGAAUAUAGUUGAAAUUACGUCCUG